RNAcentral lists this ribosomal RNA (274 nucleotides) under uncultured bacterium. RNAcentral's name for it is "partial 16S ribosomal RNA". It matches the Rfam family "Archaeal small subunit ribosomal RNA", at positions 473 to 747 of the family's 1478-position model. The record is from RNAcentral.
AAACCAGCACCUCAAGUGGUCAGGAUGAUUAUUGGGCCUAAAGCAUCCGUAGCCGGCUCAGUAAGUUUUCGGUUAAAUCUGUACGCUCAACGUACAGGCUGCCGGGAAUACUGCAGAGCUAGGGAGUGGGAGAGGUAGACGGUACUCGGGAGGAAGUGGUAAAAUGCUUUGAUCUUUCGAUGACCACCUGUGGCGAAGGCGGUCUACCAGAACACGUCCGACGGUGAGGGAUGAAAGCUGGGGGAGCAAACCGGAUUAGAAACCCGUGUAGUCC